AAUGGGCGAAAGCCUGACGGAGCAACGCCGCGUGAGGGAUGAAGGCCUCUGGGCUGUAAACCUCUUUUAUCAAGGAAGAAGAUCUGACGGUACUUGAUGAAUAAGCCACGGCUAAUUCCGUGCCAGCAGCCGCGGUAAUACGGGAGUGGCAAGCGUUAUCCGGAAUUAUUGGGCGUAAAGCGUCCGCAGGCGGCCCUUCAAGUCUGCUGUUAAAAAGUGGAGCUUAACUCCAUCAUGGCAGUGGAAACUGUUGGGCUUGAGUGUGGUAGGGGCAGAGGGAAUUCCCGGUGUAGCGGUGAAAUGCGUAGAUAUCGGGAAGAACACGAGUGGCGAAGGCGCUCUGCUGGGCCAUCACUGACGCUCAUGGACGAAAGCCAGGGGAGCGAAAGGGAUU
RNAcentral lists this ribosomal RNA (394 nucleotides) under uncultured Gammaproteobacteria bacterium. RNAcentral describes it as "bacterial SSU rRNA". It matches the Rfam family "Bacterial small subunit ribosomal RNA", at positions 370 to 779 of the family's 1533-position model. Lineage: Bacteria; Pseudomonadati; Pseudomonadota; Gammaproteobacteria. The record is from RNAcentral.